RNAcentral lists this ribosomal RNA (220 nucleotides) under uncultured bacterium. RNAcentral describes it as "partial 16S ribosomal RNA". It matches the Rfam family "Bacterial small subunit ribosomal RNA", at positions 109 to 334 of the family's 1533-position model. The record is from RNAcentral.
AGUAGUAUGGGGAUCUGCCCGAUAGAGGGGGAUAACUACUGGAAACGGUGGCUAAUACCGCAUAAUGUCUACGGACCAAAGCAGGGGCUCUUCGGACCUUGCACUAUCGGAUGAACCCAUAUGGGAUUAGCUAGUAGGUGGGGUAAAGGCUCACCUAGGCGACGAUCUCUAGCUGGUCUGAGAGGAUGAUCAGCCACACUGGGACUGAGACACGGCCCAG